CGGAACGUAGCUCAGCUAGGGUAGAGCACUAGCAUGGGGUGCUAGGGGGCGAAGGUUCAAAUACUCUCGUUCCGA
This 75-nucleotide transfer RNA is filed under the name Mesobacillus foraminis. RNAcentral's name for it is "Bacillus foraminis tRNA". It matches the Rfam family "tRNA". From Rfam's summary of the family: Transfer RNA (tRNA) molecules are approximately 80 nucleotides in length. Their secondary structure includes four short double-helical elements and three loops (D, anti-codon, and T loops). Further hydrogen bonds mediate the characteristic L-shaped molecular structure. tRNAs have two regions of fundamental functional importance: the anti-codon, which is responsible for specific mRNA codon recognition, and the 3' end, to which the tRNAs corresponding amino acid is attached (by aminoacyl-tRNA synthetases). tRNAs cope with the degeneracy of the genetic code in two manners: having more than one tRNA (with a specific anti-codon) for a particular amino acid; and 'wobble' base-pairing, i.e. permitting non-standard base-pairing at the 3rd anti-codon position. The record is from Rfam by way of RNAcentral. Lineage: Bacteria; Bacillati; Bacillota; Bacilli; Caryophanales; Bacillaceae.